GCUGUCGAACCCUACCUUAUCCACUUCUUCCCCCUUGCUCUCCUCCCCGAUCUGGAGAGGCACCCGUACGCAGCCGUUGACGCCGCCUCGUUGUUGACAUGCUCCGGCACCACCCCGUCCCGCUCGAAGGCGCCCAGGAGCUGCGCCUCGACGUCCUCUACCUCCACAACAACACUCUCGAGCAAGGACGUACUUUACAGUCGCUAUCGAGCACAUCUCCGCGUACAUCGUCGCCGUACGCCGUCGUUUGCCGCUACUCCGGUCCGUCCCCGGCCGCCCCGACCACGUCCCCGAGUCCACUACCCCGAGACCGCUGCCGGUACCCCUGUGAUCGCCUACAUCGACGAUGAACCCUUCUUACCAGAGCAACCAGACCCUGAGACCGCUGCCGGUACCCCUGUGAUCGCCUACAUCGACGAUGAACCCUUCUUACCAGAGCAACCAGAUGCUGGAGCCCAGGAGCUAGACGCCACCGUCGACAACGACUCCUACUACACCGGAGGUGCCUACUACUACGUGCAGGCCGCUGACGACGACCAGGAGUAGUUUAGGAGGAUCCCAGGCAGUAGGCAUGCGCCUCUUUCGAUCUGUAUCAUAGUUUGUGCUAGCCUUCUUAAGGCAAACUUGUUUAACUUAUGUCUGUACUCAGAUAUUGUUGCUUCCGCUGACUCGUCUAUGAUCGAGCACUUGUAUUUGAGCCCUCGAGGCCCCUGGCUUGUAUUAUGAUGCUUGUAUGACUUAUUUUAUUUUUAGAGUUGUGUUGUGAUA
This 768-nucleotide ribosomal RNA is filed under the name Triticum aestivum (bread wheat). Its description in RNAcentral is "partial small subunit ribosomal RNA". Lineage: Eukaryota; Viridiplantae; Streptophyta; Magnoliopsida; Poales; Poaceae. The record is from RNAcentral.